Molecule: transfer RNA, 74 nt
Filed under: Burkholderiales bacterium
Lineage: Bacteria; Pseudomonadati; Pseudomonadota; Betaproteobacteria; Burkholderiales
Also listed under: 6 other names
Description: tRNA-Trp
Rfam family: tRNA
About the family: Transfer RNA (tRNA) molecules are approximately 80 nucleotides in length.
Source: RNAcentral
AGGGGCGUAGCUUAGUGGUAAAGCUACGGUUUCCAAAACCGUCGAUGGGGGUUCGAUUCCCUCCGCCCCUGCCA